This 472-nucleotide ribosomal RNA is filed under the name uncultured bacterium. Its description in RNAcentral is "partial 16S ribosomal RNA". It matches the Rfam family "Bacterial small subunit ribosomal RNA", at positions 29 to 507 of the family's 1533-position model. The record is from RNAcentral.
ACGAACGUUGGCGGCGUGGAUUAGGCAUGCAAGUCGUACGCGUUUCAUCUGGGUAACUGGAUGAAAAAAGUGGCGAAAGGGGCAGUAAGGCAUGGAUAAUCUACCCUGAUGACCGGGAUAGCUGUCCCAACGGGCAGGUAAUACCGGAUGAGCUGGUGGGGCCGCAUGGUUCUGCCAGGAAAGGCGCAAGCCGUGUCGGGAGGAAUCCAUGUGAUAUUAGCUAGUUGGUGAGGUAAAGGCUCACCAAGGCGAAGAUGUCUAGCGGGUGUGAGAGCACGACCCGGGCCAUUGGCACUGGGACCACGGGCAGGACCCCACCGGAGGCCGCAGGCGGGGAUCUUCCGCAAUGGGGGAAAGCCUUACCGGGCGGCGCCGCGGGAGGGAUGAAGGCCAUUAGGGUGUAAAGCCCUUGUGGGGGGGAACAAGGCGGAAGGGUGGGUUAUCCCUUGAGGAAGCACGGGCUUAGUUCGUG